UACGAAGGGGGCUAGCGUUGCUCGGAAUGACUGGGCGUAAAGGGCGCGUAGGCGGAUGGCACAGUCAGAUGUGAAAUUCCCGGGCUUAACCUGGGGGCUGCAUUUGAUACGUGUUGUCUUGGGUUCGGAAGAGGGUCGUGGAAUUCCCAGUGUAGAGGUGAAAUUCGUAGAUAUUGGGAAGAACACCGGUGGCGAAGGCGGCGACCUGGUCCGACACUGACGCUGAGGCGCGAAAGCGUGGGGAGCAAACAGG
This 253-nucleotide ribosomal RNA is filed under the name uncultured bacterium. Its description in RNAcentral is "partial 16S ribosomal RNA". It matches the Rfam family "Bacterial small subunit ribosomal RNA", at positions 524 to 776 of the family's 1533-position model. The record is from RNAcentral.